CACGUAGGAGGCGAGCGUUGUCCGGAAUCAUUGGGCGUAAAGAGCGCGCAGGCGGCUUGGCAAGUCGGGUGUGAAAUCCCGGGGCUCAACCCCGUGACUGCAUCCGAUACUGUCAGGCUAGAGGUAGGUAGGGGAGAUCGGAAUUCCUGGUGUAGCGGUGAAAUGCGCAGAUAUCAGGAGGAACACCGGUGGCGAAGGCGGAUCUCUGGGCCGUAACUGACGCUGAGGAGCGAAAGCAUGGGGAGCGAACAGG
RNAcentral lists this ribosomal RNA (253 nucleotides) under uncultured bacterium. RNAcentral's name for it is "partial 16S ribosomal RNA". It matches the Rfam family "Bacterial small subunit ribosomal RNA", at positions 524 to 776 of the family's 1533-position model. The record is from RNAcentral.